Molecule: ribosomal RNA, 486 nt
Filed under: uncultured bacterium
Lineage: Bacteria
Description: partial 16S ribosomal RNA
Rfam family: Bacterial small subunit ribosomal RNA
Source: RNAcentral
AGUGAACGCUGGCGGCAUGCCUUACACAUGCAAGUCGAACGGCAGCACGGGUGCUUGCGCCUGGUGGCGAGUGGCGGACGGGUGAGUAAUACAUAGGAACAUAUCCGGUCAGGGGGGGUGGCCCGGCGAAAGCCGGAUUAAUACCGCAUACGAACGACGUAUGGGAGCGGGAGACCUACGGGCCUCGCUCUCUCGGGUUGGCCGAUGGCUGAUUAGCUAGUUGGUGGGGUAAAGGCCUACCAAGGCGACGAUCAGUAGCUGGUCUGAGAGGACGACCAGCCACACUGGGACUGAGACACGGCCCAGACUCCUACGGGAGGCAGCAGUGGGGAAUUUUGGACAAUGGGCGAAAGCCUGAUCCAGCAAUGCCGCGUGUGUGAAGAAGGCCUUCGGGUUGUAAAGCACUUUUGUCCGGAAAGAAAUCCUUCGCCCUAAUACGGUCGGGGGAUGACGGUACCGGAAGAAUAAGCACCGGCUAACUACGUG